CCGCCCCUCUUUUUGACACCGUCCAAUCCUCAGUGGGCGCUUUCGUCCUCCCCGCCCUCGCCACCAAAGGAUCGUCCUCCAGGGCCAACAGUCGUACAAAAAGCUCAUGUAGACACCCGAGUUCAGAGCCAGCCUCCAAGAGUAUCUUACAUCCCAGCCUCUCCUGGAAGGCCGUAUGAUCCAGCACUGGGGAGAGGAGGGAAAUCCCCAGGACUCGAAUGCCCAUCCCACCCUCGGUGUAGUGAGGACUCAUCCUGCUGGAAAGGCCCCUGAAGAACUUCAAGUUCCAAUGUCCCAUUUUUACAGAUGGGGAAACUGACAUGAAGAGGAAUCCAAAGUGACACAGUCAGCCCAGAAAUGUUGCUUCUCAAGUCCUGAGUCCACCUCCUAGCACUGCCAAGCAGUCCACUUGGAGGUGAUGAGAACUUCCAGGCUUUGGUAAUGGACAACUCUGUAUCCCUGGAGCCUUCAUUCCUUUUGGCAUUACAGAACCACAAGAAGUCAUCUAGAAUCAUUGAGAUUCUCAACUCCAUUGGGCAAACUGGAACCAGCAAAAUCUCAGAUAUCUAGAAUUGCCACUGCUUCCUUGACUCUGUGAUCAGUCUAUAGCCACAGAAUCCUGAUUCCCUUUGGACAUUCUAGAAUGGCACUUAAAAAAAAAAACAACCCACCCCGUGGAUCCUUUCAAA
Symphalangus syndactylus (siamang) is the source of this 689-nucleotide long non-coding RNA. RefSeq lists it as uncharacterized. The record is from RefSeq and is a predicted model, not a curated record. NCBI's taxonomy places the organism in Eukaryota, Metazoa, Chordata, Mammalia, Primates, Hylobatidae.